AUCUGGAUCUCGCUAGAGGUCGCUUGCUCCGUAGUCUUAUAAGGCGAGAGCCGUCGGAGGAGAGAUUAUUGGCACAGGGCACACGAUUCUCUCUCUUCGCCUAUUAUUAGUACUGGCCGCUUUUGAAACUCAAAUAAUGACGUCACCGCCAUACACAUUCACAUCCGAAACUAUUUCAUGUUUCAGAUUCAUGGAGUAUGCACAAUUCUGAACAAUAACGACUUGAAAAUUAUAACUGGUGUGAAAUGAGAAUUUCCUGUUAAACUUCUUUGAUGGAAAAUCAUUGAAUGAGAUGAAAAUCAAAUAAGUAAAUUUCAUAAUUACUGUGAAGCAUUCGGGGCGACUUUCGCUUUCAACAUCUACGACACAGAGGGUGGCGGCAACCUGGACGCCUUCUUCCUUGGCGAUCUGCUCAGAGCUCUGGGACUCAACCCAACUCAGGGCCUCAUUGAGAAGCUGGGAGGCACCAAGAAGAAGGGUGAGAAGACCUUCACAUUCGAGGAGUUCCUGCCAAUCUUCAGCCAGGCCAGGAAGGACAAGGACAAUGGAGUCUAUGAGGACUUCAUCGAGUGCUUGAAGCUCUACGACAAGGCUGAGAACGGUCUCAUGGUUGGCGCUGAACUCUCUCACAUUCUCUUGUCUCUUGGUGAAAGGUUAACUGAGAAGGAAGUCGAUGAGGUCCUUAAGGACUGCCUGGACCCUGAAGAUGAUGACGGCAUGGUCCCCUACAUCCCUUUCCUCAAGAGGAUGAUGGCACCAUAGAUUCGUCAUGGAUCUACAAAACAAAUAAUCUAAAUAUCAAAAAAUUCCAUUCCUGGCUCGUGUAUGCGAAAAACCAGUACCCGAUGACAUCAAGCCAGUAUUGUAAUCCACCUGGCAAAAGAAAAAAACAUUUUUGAAAUCUCAAAAAAUCAAUCAUAUUAUAUCCAUCAAAAAACCAGAUUAUACAAAUACAUGAAAACAGCUGUACAUAAAACUGGGCAAUUCUAUUUAUUAAUAAAAGUAUAAUUUUAUUGUUA
Molecule: unclassified non-coding RNA, 1019 nt
Filed under: Nilaparvata lugens (brown planthopper)
Lineage: Eukaryota; Metazoa; Arthropoda; Insecta; Hemiptera; Delphacidae
Description: myosin light chain 1, transcript variant X3
Source: RNAcentral